Molecule: non-coding RNA, 24 nt
Filed under: Arabidopsis thaliana (thale cress)
Lineage: Eukaryota; Viridiplantae; Streptophyta; Magnoliopsida; Brassicales; Brassicaceae
Source: RNAcentral
UGACACGUGGAUUGCUGACUCGCC